This 74-nucleotide transfer RNA is filed under the name Vulgatibacter incomptus. It matches the Rfam family "tRNA". Rfam says of the family: Transfer RNA (tRNA) molecules are approximately 80 nucleotides in length. Their secondary structure includes four short double-helical elements and three loops (D, anti-codon, and T loops). Further hydrogen bonds mediate the characteristic L-shaped molecular structure. tRNAs have two regions of fundamental functional importance: the anti-codon, which is responsible for specific mRNA codon recognition, and the 3' end, to which the tRNAs corresponding amino acid is attached (by aminoacyl-tRNA synthetases). tRNAs cope with the degeneracy of the genetic code in two manners: having more than one tRNA (with a specific anti-codon) for a particular amino acid; and 'wobble' base-pairing, i.e. permitting non-standard base-pairing at the 3rd anti-codon position. Lineage: Bacteria; Pseudomonadati; Myxococcota; Myxococcia; Myxococcales; Vulgatibacteraceae. The record is from Rfam by way of RNAcentral.
GGGCGAUUAGCUCAGCUGGAUAGAGCAUUGGCCUUCGAAGCCAAGGGUCGGGGGUUCGAACCCCUCAUCGCCCG